RNAcentral lists this unclassified non-coding RNA (274 nucleotides) under uncultured fungus. RNAcentral's name for it is "sequence contains ITS1". The stretch from base 1 to 112 matches the Rfam family "5.8S ribosomal RNA", at positions 48 to 154 of the family's 154-position model. The record is from RNAcentral. Lineage: Eukaryota; Fungi.
GUUAAACGUGACAUUUAAUGUGACUUGCAACUCCCGUGAAUCAUCAAGAUUUUGAACACAUACGGAACUCUUGCUGCUUUCGAGUAGCAAGGGUACUUGCUUGUGAGUGUCAGUACCUCAUUCAUAUUAGCUCUGGGAGGUCUUUCAUCCAAUUGAGUUGGAUUUAAGAACCCUCGGCUAUCAUCAAUCUUAGGAUUGGGUACUAGAAGGACCUUUGGUCUUUCGAAACAGAAUUUUCUGACCUCAUUUGUGAGUGGUUACCCACUGAAUUUAA